Long non-coding RNA from Felis catus (domestic cat), 3968 nucleotides. RefSeq lists it as uncharacterized. The record is from RefSeq and is a predicted model, not a curated record. The transcript is spliced from 5 exons. NCBI's taxonomy places the organism in Eukaryota, Metazoa, Chordata, Mammalia, Carnivora, Felidae.
CGUCAAAGCAGGGUUUGCAACUUCAGCGAUUGGAGUCGUCUGCGAAGACUUAAGCAGAGAGUGAAGCCCAGAGAUUCUGAUUUAAUUGGUCUGGGGUAUGUCCUACGCAUCGAGACUUUUAAAUUCCGCAGGUAAAUCCAACAUGUUACCGAGGUGGAGAACCACUGAGCUACCGUCUUGAACAUAGCUUUUGCAUUUUUAUUUUACCGCGCGCGCACACACCCCCACGCACCUGCCCCAUAAAUGUCCUUCCCUAGUUUCGAGUCAAGGAAGAACCCUCUUCAUUCAACCUUGCUGGGGCCCAGUAGUCUAGCUCCUGUUGUCAUAGCAACAGAGAGGCAAGCCCCUGCCAACAAGUCAUCCUUAACGUCAUAGCCACCUGACCUGAACACCCGUGAACACGUCUCUUCCGCGGGCCGGGGGUUCCCUAGUUUCCGGGGCUGGGGGAUGGUGCUGCAGACUCCUUCAGCUGCUUGGGUCAGGGAGAGGAAUCCUGUGCCCUCCGUGGUGGAGCUGCUGUUAAGUCCUUCCCAGCUGAAAAAAUCCAUCUGACUGAAAGGUGGAGGAUGGAUUAGAUGGGUCCAGAUGGGAAGCAGAAACACCUGUUGGGAGGCUUCUGUGAACAGGCUACCUGUGAACAGGUCUCAUGUGGGAAAUCAGCCUCUCUGCUGUGGACAUCAUCUGGAGAGAAAAGCUUGGACAUGGAGAAAGAGAGGUCCAGCCAUCCCAGCAUUCCAGCUGUUGCCCCCGGAGUGGGAGACAAGCAAGCCAGCCAUCAUGGACAUUCCAGCUCCAGUUACCUUCUGACUGUGGCCACAAGAGACACCCCCAACUAAGACAGCAGAGCUGUCCAGACAAUGUGGGCAGCUUUCCUGUCUGCGUGGGAGGAGGAGGUUGGAAGCUCCAUCUCUGGAACAGACCUCGAUGAGAGGGGGCAGAGGAAGGAGUGUUCUGCCCCCCAUCCCUGCGAGAGCAGUACCCAGCAGAGUGCGGUUUUGGCUUGAAGGAGCAAGGGGGAGAGGACUUCAGCAGGAUGAACAGGCUUAUGAGCCCAGGGGUAAGUCCAUCCGACUCUUUCCUGAGGGGCAGGAAGUUGCUCCAAGGGAAAGAUGUCAGAGGUGGGUUGGGAUAGCGUGCAAAGUGCUUGAGUGCCAGGUGCCCAAGGACCCUGGUGGGGCACUGACCAGAACCUCUGUUCUCACUGACUAUUAGCCUCCAGCUUGUAGGAGAGCUCGAAGAGGAGGUUCUGGUUGUCGAUGACCUGGAACUGGCGCACAUAGGCCUUGGUCUGCAGGUGAUGGGGGGAUGCCUCCAUAUCCAGGCCUGGAGGUGUGACAAGAGAGAGGCCUUCAGGCUCCCAGCCUCCCUUCUUGCUCUACAUGCCUACCAGCCAGAGAAGAGGGGUGUGGAUUGGGACAGGAGGGUCCCUAGAGAGGCCAAAGAGAGGAUGGAGAGCUGACAAGUUUAAGGAAAUAAAGAAUUGAGGAUGGUCUCCUCCCGGAAUCCUCCCGCUCAGUCAAAGCUCUACCUGUAAAGCUCUUAGAAGCCUGGGUACUCACAAAGGGGCCGGCUCCGGUAUUUGCGGAUUGUCCUCACCUUUUCAGCCACUGAAUGCUGGGAGAUGACAAGAAAUGAGCCCUAAAAAGGGUACAGAAAGAUGCUCCCCCCUCUUAUGCUCCCCCUGGUCUAUUCUCCAACUCUGCUGGUUUGACUCCACUCCCUCCAGGGUCUAAUUCUGGAGGGUCUCUGAAGAACCAAAGAAGGGGUGUAAUGGGGCCGGUGAGGGGAGGUAGAGUUGCCCCCCCCCCCCCAGCUCCCUGUCAGCUUUGUGGCCUGUGGGCGUGUUGCCACAGCAAUGGCAGCAGGGACAGUCAGGAGUCUGUCAGGCAAGCUGGGCACCAAGAAGGAAGGCUGCUGCCUUUAGGGGGCUACCAGGAUGGGGGUGGGGGGGAAGGAUGCCGGCCCCUGCUCCCAGGCCAGGGUAGGCCGUGCCACUCACCAGCUUCUCAAUGUUCACCAAACCAUCAACAAGAGUCUUACUCCCCUCAUGCAGGAAAGUCAGGUCUAGGGGAGGGAAGAGAAACAAAUGUGAGGAAGAAGAGAGGAGAUCCAAAGGGCCCUUCCCCUCCCCCACGACCCCUCAGUGCGGGGCUCCUCUCCAGUGGGCAUUCAGAGCUAAGUGACAGUGGUUGAUAGCCGGAACUGAGGCACAGAGACUGUGGCCAGAAGAGCAUGGGAUUGACUCUCACCUUUGAGGAUCAGAGGCACAAAGGGAAUCACAGGAGGUUUCAUCUUGGAGAUGACUUCUCGGUAGCUUUUGUGGUUCCUGCAGGGGUCCUGGCAUUCCGCAGAAGAGAGGUUAGGGGACACAUAGUCCCAGCGUACCUCAAAGAUGCCCCCUACUCCUCCCUCAUCCCCCUGCCCUAGAUCCAUCUCUGAUCAAAGAGAGGUAUGUAUGGGUGUCUAGCUGGGGGUGAGAUGGGGAGGAGCUUGACUGUCCUCCCCUCACCUCCAAGGCAAACAGGGCAGCAAUCCACCCACCCUUCCCCCUCCCAGCAUGCCAGGGGAAGGGUCUUGGGCACUAAAAACCUUAAAGGCAAGGUUUGUGGGAACAGAGGGUCUCUGGGGUGCAAGCCCAGGGGCAGAUAAAAGAGCUGAACCCACUCACUGUCAGGUUCUCAAAUUUGCGGAACAAAUUCUUGAAUUUCCCGGGCAGCUUCUGCAGAGAGUUUGAAGGAAGGAGAAGGAAUGUCAGACUGGAGCUCCUUGCGUUUCAGGGCAGCUCUGGCUAAUCCCCAGGUGUCAGAGGGGGAAAGGGCCCGGCUAUCUUGCAAGGGGCUGGCAAGCUGGUCUGGUGGGUAGGGAAAUAGAAUCAGCCCUUGGUGAGGUCUGGGGAGCUUGAAGCAGCCCGGAGGAAUGAAUUAUUCUGGGGAAUUCGAGCCUCUGCGUUGGCAUUGCCACGCACAAGGGGCCUCACUGAGCGCUGGCUGGAAUCCAGCAUCCAAGUCUGCGACCUGGCCUGGGCUGCCUGCCCCCCUCUCCGGCGGGGAUUCCGGCUUUUUACUAAUUUGCACAAGGACAGGGCGCAUUAACCUAGCGGCGUGCCCCGGGCCUGGAUCUGCCAGAAGAGGGCGCCUCCUUCCGCCUGGCACAAAGGCUCCCUAAGGGCCAGCCGCACCGCGGGAGGCAGCACCGGGGUGAACCCGGCAGGCCAAGAUCCCCGAGCCGGGCCGGCCCAGGCGGGAGGAGAGGAGAGGGCAGCCAUGCAUCACCUCCCAGAUUGGAGACGUAAGGCUUAGAGGGUCUGGGGGUGAAUUGCCCGAGGGCACCCCGCCAGCCACCUUCUAAUGCAAAGUUCAGCUGCACACAUGGCCCGUCUCCAGGACCCCACGUUGGCACAUUUCUCCCUCCAGGCCCCCAGCCCAGCACCACCUUCAGUCCCCACCUCGUGCACACAUCGAAACAGCUCCCAGUGGAAGGCAGUAAGGUGGUUGGCGACGUCCUCAGGCUCCACUCGGUGGAUCUCUGUGUCUCCAGGGGAGACCUGGAUCUCCUCGGGGAGGGGCAUCUGGUGACAGGCAGGGACACAGGGGCUGGGCUCCACUCUGGGCUUGUGAGUUUCUGCCCGUAGUCCCUCUGGGCCCUCACUCCCAGCCAACGCCUCGUGACGGAGUUCUUACCAGCGCCUCAUAGCUGUCGCGGGUGCAGGCAAACAGGUGACUGUUGAUGCCCAGCGUGGUGAAGACACAGUCUUCAGUCGGCUGGAGAAGGACCUUCUCUGCAGGAGAACGAGCUGUUCUGCCUCAGCCCUGGCUAUCUGCACCCUCACACACCCCAGCCACUGUCGCCAUCCCGUCUAGAAACUCCUAACCCUGCAUGGACACAUUCUAGACGAAUGGGACUGCUGUUAUCACCAGUUUGUGCCACAUUCAUCUGAAAUUUUCAAAUAAUGAUUUCCUCCGCAUUCA